This is a long non-coding RNA of Armigeres subalbatus, 414 nucleotides long. RefSeq lists it as uncharacterized. The transcript has 3 exons. Lineage: Eukaryota; Metazoa; Arthropoda; Insecta; Diptera; Culicidae. The record is from RefSeq and is a predicted model, not a curated record.
GAUUCAUUUGACCGUGUACAGUUUUGUUUAUAAUUGGUGAAGAGAUGAAAAUAAUGAAACUGUAUGGUGCAAAAAGUGUUUUUUUCAUUGCAGUUUCUGCUGCUGGGAAAGCGGUAGAUCACUAUGGCUUCUGUACCGUGAAAUGAAGCUUAUGAUAAAUAAAAUACUGCUGCUUGCUGGUCACUGAUUGAAGAUCGUUCAGUGGCUACCAUUGGCCAAUCUCACCAAAGGGAUAUAAUAAGAACUGAUGCAGGUUUAUAGCUAUUCGGAACAAAGUUAGUACACUUUUUAAACCGAUGUUGGAUUUUUCUCCAGAUACAGGCAACCCACUUAACUUUGGAAGUAGUGCGCUGGAUUCGUCUAAAGAUAUGCUAAAUAAACUGAGGAAAAUAAAAUGAUAUGUAAAACAAUUAA